RNAcentral lists this ribosomal RNA (477 nucleotides) under uncultured bacterium. RNAcentral's name for it is "partial 16S ribosomal RNA". It matches the Rfam family "Bacterial small subunit ribosomal RNA", at positions 30 to 507 of the family's 1533-position model. The record is from RNAcentral.
AUUGAACGCUGGCGGCAUGCCUUACACAUGCAAGUCGAACGGUAACAGGUUAAGCUGACGAGUGGCGAACGGGUGAGCAAUGUAUCGGAACGUGCCCAGUCGUGGGGGAUAACUGCUCGAAAGAGCAGCUAAUACCGCAUACGACCUGGGGGUGAAAGCGGGGGAUCGCAAGACCUCGCGCGAUUGGAGCGGCCGAUAUCAGAUUAGGUAGUUGGUGAGGUAAAGGCUCACCAAGCCGACGAUCUGUAGCUGGUCUGAGAGGACGACCAGCCACACUGGGACUGAGACACGGCCCAGACUCCUACGGGAGGCAGCAGUGGGGAAUUUUGGACAAUGGGCGCAAGCCUGAUCCAGCCAUGCCGCGUGCGGGAAGAAGGCCUUCGGGUUGUAAACCGCUUUUGUCAGGGAAGAAAAGGUUCUGGCUAAUACCUGGGACUCAUGACGGUACCUGAAGAAUAAGCACCGGCUAACUACGUG